CCUACGGGUGGCAGCAGUGGGGAAUUUUGGACAAUGGGGGCAACCCUGAUCCAGCCAUGCCGCGUGUGUGAAGAAGGCCUUCGGGUUGUAAAGCACUUCGCGAGAACGGUCGGUACCGGAAGAAGAAGCACCGGCUAACUACGUGCCAGCAGCCGCGGUAAUACGUAGGGUGCGAGCGUUAAUCGGAAUUACUGGGCGUAAAGUGUGCGCAGGUGGCCGCGCAAGUCGAGUGUGAAAUCCCCGAGCUUAACUUGGGAAUUGCGCUCGAAACUACGUGGCUCGAGUGUGGCAGAGGAAGGUGGAAUUCCACGUGUAGCGGUGAAAUGCGUAGAGAUGUGGAGGAACACCGAUGGCGAAGGCAGCCUUCUGGCCACACUGACGCUCAUGCACGAAAGCGUGGGGAGCAAACAGGAUUAGAUACCCUUGUAGUC
This 431-nucleotide ribosomal RNA is filed under the name uncultured bacterium. RNAcentral's name for it is "partial 16S ribosomal RNA". It matches the Rfam family "Bacterial small subunit ribosomal RNA", at positions 338 to 795 of the family's 1533-position model. The record is from RNAcentral.